ACUUACGGCAACACCGGCCUGAGUACGCCUGAUCUCGUCCGAUCUCAGAAGCUAAGCAGGGUCGGGCCUGGUUAGUACUUGGAUGGGAGACCGCCUGGGAAUACCAGGUGCUGUAAGCU
This 119-nucleotide ribosomal RNA is filed under the name Oncorhynchus mykiss (rainbow trout). Lineage: Eukaryota; Metazoa; Chordata; Actinopteri; Salmoniformes; Salmonidae. The record is from RNAcentral.